GUGCUCACUUCGGCAGCACAUACACUAAAAUUGGAACGAUACAGAGAAGAUUAGCAUGGCCCCUGCACAAGGUUGGCAUGCAAAUUCGUGAAGCAUUCCAUAUUAAA
Molecule: small nuclear RNA, 107 nt
Filed under: Castor canadensis (American beaver)
Lineage: Eukaryota; Metazoa; Chordata; Mammalia; Rodentia; Castoridae
Source: RNAcentral